AUUAAAUGCUCGAUAUUCCAUGUUGAAACCUUAUCAGGUAAAAAUGAAGGACCUGACAAAGUUUCACCAUGGGACAUCGAGCAUUUAAU
Molecule: non-coding RNA, 89 nt
Organism: Arabidopsis thaliana (thale cress)
Lineage: Eukaryota; Viridiplantae; Streptophyta; Magnoliopsida; Brassicales; Brassicaceae
Source: RefSeq